This 608-nucleotide ribosomal RNA is filed under the name uncultured bacterium. RNAcentral describes it as "bacterial SSU rRNA". It matches the Rfam family "Bacterial small subunit ribosomal RNA", at positions 338 to 960 of the family's 1533-position model. The record is from RNAcentral.
CCUACGGGAGGCAGCAGUAAGGAAUAUUGGUCAAUGGGCGCAAGCCUGAACCAGCCAUGCCGCGUGCAGGAAGACGGCCCUAUGGGUUGUAAACUGCUUUUGAACAAGAGAAAACCUCGGUACGUGUACCGAGCUGAUAGUAUUGUUAGAAUAAGCAUCGGCUAACUUCGUACCAGCAGCCGCGGUAAGACGAAGGAUGCAAGCGUUAUCCGGAUUCAUUGGGUUUAAAGGGUGCGUAGGCGGCCUGAUAAGUCAGUGGUGAAAUCUCUCAGCUUAACUGAGAAACUGCCAUUGAUACUGUCGGGCUUGAGUACAGAUGAUGUGGGCGGAAUAUGACAUGUAGUGGUGAAAUACUUAGAUAUGUCAUAGAACACCGAUUGCGAAGGCAGCUCACAAAACUGUAACUGACGCUGAGGCACGAAAGUGCGGGGAUCAAACAGGAUUAGAUACCCUGGUAGUCCGCACCGUAAACGAUGAUUACUCGUUGUUGGCAAUAUGACCGUCAGCGACCAAGCGAAAGCGAAUAAGUAAUUCACUGGGGAGUUACGCGGCACGGUUGAACUUCAAGGAUUGACGGCGNGAGAGNGCGAGGACGACGACGAGGAGAG